CUCAGUUCACUUUGCCUUGGUUAUAUUUAAAAUUCUUUUCUUUUUUUCUUGGAACUUUGGCUUUUAAAUUUUUAGUUUUUCUUAAAAAUGUCUAAAGGCACUGGACCUUUGUCUAAGUUGUACAAUGUUACCAUCAGUACUAUUGAUAAAUUUGUUCCAGGUGCAGUUCAGCCACUUUGGCAAUCCCCAGCUGGACCCCGCACUGUGUUUUUUUGGGCGCCAGCGUUUAAAUGGUCCUUGGUGCUGGCUGGGCUGAGCGAUACGCUAAGUCGUCCUCCUGCCAAUAUAUCGCUGAAUCAGUGCGGCUCCUUGGCAGUCACGGGCUUGAUUUGGUCUCGCUACUCAGUGGUUAUCACACCCAAGAACUACAAUCUUCUGGCCGUCAACAUAGCCGUCUUCAUAAUCCAGGGUUAUCUAAUGGUCAAGCACCUGAGGUGGCGCAGCGAGAAUUCUCGGAAUGCCGUGUUCAAUCAUUCGCACUUUCCAAUCAAAUCGGAGGAUGAUUGGUAGCAAGAAAAGCAGUUUAUUGAAAGUUGGCGGUUUUUGAUUUCAUCAUUGUUUGAAAUCAUCUGAACUGAAAGUGUUAUUAAAAGAAAUACUUAAGAAAGAUGAUCCAAAAAUUAUGAGCCUGAAAAUGAGAAUUCGUUUUCUUUAAUGACCAACCACGUCCAAAUAAGAACAACCAUCACAUUUGUUGUGCCGCUCUGAAGCUUUACAGUUUUUAUUCCAUUUUCUCUUAUGCAUUCUUGAAAUCAUCAUCGUAUAGCUUCUGCUCGAAACUAAGAACUCUAUCAAUAAAACUAAUGUUUCUCGCCCCCGAUGUUCUGGGGCGAUGGCUUGGGCAUGUGA
This is an RNA transcript of Drosophila mauritiana, 849 nucleotides long. It is a transcript of the gene named mitochondrial pyruvate carrier 3, with no coding region annotated. Lineage: Eukaryota; Metazoa; Arthropoda; Insecta; Diptera; Drosophilidae. The transcript is spliced from 4 exons. The record is from RefSeq and is a predicted model, not a curated record.